This 468-nucleotide ribosomal RNA is filed under the name uncultured bacterium. Its description in RNAcentral is "partial 16S ribosomal RNA". It matches the Rfam family "Bacterial small subunit ribosomal RNA", at positions 28 to 507 of the family's 1533-position model. The record is from RNAcentral.
GACGAACGCUGGCGGCGUGCUUAACACAUGCAAGUCGAACGGAAAGGCCCUGCUUUUGUGGGGUGCUCGAGUGGCGAACGGGUGAGUAACACGUGAGUAACCUGCCCUUGACUUUGGGAUAACUUCAGGAAACUGGGGCUAAUACCGGAUAGGAGCUCCUGCUGCAUGGUGGGGGUUGGAAAGUUUCGGCGGUUGGGGAUGGACUCGCGGCUUAUCAGCUUGUUGGUGGGGUAGUGGCUUACCAAGGCUUUGACGGGUAGCCGGCCUGAGAGGGUGACCGGCCACAUUGGGAAUGAGAUACGGCCCAGACUCCUACGGGAGGCAGCAGUGGGGAAUAUUGCACAAUAGGCGGAAGCCUGAUGCAGCAACGCCGCGUGCGGGAUAACGGCCUUCGGGUUGUAAACCGCUUUCGCCUGUGACGAAGCGUGAGUGACGGUAAUGGGUAAAGAAGCACCGGCUAACUACGUG